RNAcentral lists this ribosomal RNA (467 nucleotides) under uncultured bacterium. RNAcentral's name for it is "partial 16S ribosomal RNA". It matches the Rfam family "Bacterial small subunit ribosomal RNA", at positions 28 to 507 of the family's 1533-position model. The record is from RNAcentral.
GACGAACGCUGGCGGCGUGCUUAACACAUGCAAGUUGGACGGAAAGGCUCCAGCUUGCUGGAGUACUCGAGUGGCGAACGGGUGAGUAACACGUGGGUAAUCUGCCCUGCACUCUGGGAUAAGCCUGGGAAACUGGGUCUAAUACUGGAUAUGACCUUUCUCCUUAUGGGGUUUGGUGGAAAGUUUUUCGGUGUAGGAUGAGCCCGCGGCCUAUCAGCUUGUUGGUGGGGUGAUGGCCUACCAAGGCGACGACGGGUAGCCGGCCUGAGAGGGUGAUCGGCCACAUUGGGACUGAGAUACGGCCCAGACUCCUACGGGAGGCAGCAGUGGGGAAUAUUGCACAAUGGGCGGAAGCCUGAUGCAGCGACGCCGCGUGAGGGAUGACGGCCUUCGGGUUGUAAACCUCUUUCAGCAGGGACGAAGCGUAAGUGACGGUACCUGCAGAAGAAGCACCGGCUAACUAUGUG